RNAcentral lists this ribosomal RNA (944 nucleotides) under uncultured archaeon. RNAcentral describes it as "bacterial SSU rRNA". It matches the Rfam family "Archaeal small subunit ribosomal RNA", at positions 1 to 922 of the family's 1478-position model. The record is from RNAcentral.
UUCCGGUUGAUCCUGCCGGACCCCACUGCUAUCGGGAUGGGACUAAGACAUGCUAGUCGUGCGUCUUCAAGUCAUGGUGGAGACGCGGCACACAGCUCAGUAACACGUGGCUAACCUAACCUUGGGACAAGGACAACCCCGGGAAACUGGGGAUAAUCCUUGAUGGGUGAGGACUCCUGGAAUGGAUUCUCGCUGAAAGGGCGUUUAGACCAUGCAUUAGGCGUCGCCCAAGGAUGGGGCCGCGGCCGAUCAGGUUGUUGGUGAGGUAAUGGCUCACCAAGCCUUUAACCGGUACGGGCCGUGAGAGCGGGAGCCCGGAGAUGGGCACUGAGACAAGGGCCCAGGCCCUACGGGGCGCAGCAGUCGCGAAAACUCACCAAUGCACGAAAGUGCGAGUGGGCCAUCCCGAGUGCCAUCCGCUGAGGACGGCUUUUCCCUAGUGUAUAAAGCUGGGGGAAUAAGGAGAGGGCAAGUCUGGUGUCAGCCGCCGCGGUAAUACCAGCUCUCCGAGUGGUGGGGAUGCUUAUUGGGCCUAAAGCAUUCGUAGCCUGUUGGGCAAGUCCUUCGUUAAAUCCACCGAUUCAAUCGUUGGACUGCGGGGGAUACUGUCCAGCUAGGGGGCGGGAGAGGCCGACGGUAUUCUCGGGGUAGGGGUGAAAUCCUAUAAUCCCGGGAGGACCACCAGUGGCGAAGGCUGUCGGCUAGAACGCGCUCGACGGUGAGGGAUGAAAGCUGGGGUAGCGAACCGGAUUAGAUACCCGGGUAGUCCCAGCUGUAAACGAUGCAGGCUAGGUGUUAGGACGGCUACGUGCCGUUCUAGUGCCGCAGGGAAGCUAUUAAGCCUGCCGCCUGGGUAGUACGGCCGCAAGGCUGAAACUUAAAGGAAUUGGCGGGGGAGCACCACAAGGGGUGAAGCUUGCGGUUUAAUUGGAGUCAACGCCGGG